Molecule: ribosomal RNA, 248 nt
Filed under: uncultured bacterium
Lineage: Bacteria
Description: partial 16S ribosomal RNA
Rfam family: Bacterial small subunit ribosomal RNA
Source: RNAcentral
CACGCCUUAAACGAUGUAUGCUUGGUGUUGGGUCGCAAGACUCAGUGCCGGAGGAAACCUAUUAAGCAUACCACCUGGGGAGUACGAUCGCAAGGUUGAAACUCAAAGGAAUUGACGGGGGCCCGCACAAGCGGUGGAUCAUGUGGUUUAAUUCGAUGCAACGCGAAGAACCUUACCCGGGCUCGAAGUGCAGGUAGUAAAGAGAUGAAAGUCAAAUGAACCGUUAAGCCGGUUGCCUGCAGAGGUGC